RNAcentral lists this ribosomal RNA (1467 nucleotides) under Salmonella enterica. RNAcentral describes it as "partial 23S ribosomal RNA". It matches the Rfam family "Bacterial large subunit ribosomal RNA", at positions 1 to 1503 of the family's 2925-position model. Lineage: Bacteria; Pseudomonadati; Pseudomonadota; Gammaproteobacteria; Enterobacterales; Enterobacteriaceae. The record is from RNAcentral.
GGGUUGUGAGGUUAAGCGACUAAGCGUACACGGUGGAUGCCCUGGCAGUCAGAGGCGAUGAAGGACGUGCUAAUCUGCGAUAAGCGCCGGUAAGGUGAUAUGAACCGUUAUAACCGGCGAUUUCCGAAUGGGGAAACCCAGUGUGACUCGUCACACUAUCAUUAACUGAAUCCAUAGGUUAAUGAGGCGAACCGGGGGAACUGAAACAUCUAAGUACCCCGAGGAAAAGAAAUCAACCGAGAUUCCCCCAGUAGCGGCGAGCGAACGGGGAGGAGCCCAGAGCCUGAAUCAGCAUGUGUGUUAGUGGAAGCGUCUGGAAAGGCGCGCGAUACAGGGUGACAGCCCCGUACACAAAAGCGCAUAUGCUGUGAGCUCGAUGAGUAGGGCGGGACACGUGGUAUCCUGUCUGAAUAUGGGGGGACCAUCCUCCAAGGCUAAAUACUCCUGACUGACCGAUAGUGAACCAGUACCGUGAGGGAAAGGCGAAAAGAACCCCGGCGAGGGGAGUGAAAAAGAACCUGAAACCGUGUACGUACAAGCAGUGGGAGCACCCUUUGGGGUGUGACUGCGUACCUUUUGUAUAAUGGGUCAGCGACUUAUAUUCUGUAGCAAGGUUAACCGAAUAGGGGAGCCGGAGGGAAACCGAGUCUUAAUUGGGCGUUAAGUUGCAGGGUAUAGACCCGAAACCCGGUGAUCUAGCCAUGGGCAGGUUGAAGGUUGGGUAACACUAACUGGAGGACCGAACCGACUAAUGUUGAAAAAUUAGCGGAUGACCUGUGGCUGGGGGUGAAAGGCCAAUCAAACCGGGAGAUAGCUGGUUCUCCCCGAAAGCUAUUUAGGUAGCGCCUCGUGAAUUCAUCUCCGGGGGUAGAGCACUGUUUCGGCUAGGGGGCCAUCCCGGCUUACCAACCCGAUGCAAACUGCGAAUACCGGAGAAUGUUAUCACGGGAGACACACGGCGGGUGCUAACGUCCGUCGUGAAGAGGGAAACAACCCAGACCGCCAGCUAAGGUCCCAAAGUCAUGGUUAAGUGGGAAACGAUGUGGGAAGGCCCAGACAGCCAGGAUGUUGGCUUAGAAGCAGCCAUCAUUUAAAGAAAGCGUAAUAGCUCACUGGUCGAGUCGGCCUGCGCGGAAGAUGUAACGGGGCUAAACCAUGCACCGAAGCUGCGGCAGCGACGCUGAUGCGUUGUUGGGUAGGGGAGCGUUCUGUAAGCCUGUGAAGGUGGCCUGUGAGGGUUGCUGGAGGUAUCAGAAGUGCGAAUGCUGACAUAAGUAACGAUAAAGCGGGUGAAAAGCCCGCUCGCCGGAAGACCAAGGGUUCCUGUCCAACGUUAAUCGGGGCAGGGUGAGUCGACCCCUAAGGCGAGGCCGAAAGGCGUAGUCGAUGGGAAACGGGUUAAUAUUCCCGUACUUGGUGUUACUGCGAAGGGGGGACGGAGAAGGCUAUGUUGGCCGGGCGACGGUU